RNAcentral lists this ribosomal RNA (473 nucleotides) under uncultured Brachyspira sp. Its description in RNAcentral is "bacterial SSU rRNA". It matches the Rfam family "Bacterial small subunit ribosomal RNA", at positions 8 to 500 of the family's 1533-position model. Lineage: Bacteria; Pseudomonadati; Spirochaetota; Spirochaetia; Brachyspirales; Brachyspiraceae. The record is from RNAcentral.
AGAGUUUGAUCCUGGCUCAGAGCGAACGUUGGCGAUGCGUCUUAAGCAUGCAAGUCGAGCGGGCUUAUUCGGGCAACUGGAUAAGUUAGCGGCGAACUGGUGAGUAACACGUAGGUAAUCUGCCGUGAAGCGGGGGAUAACCCAUGGAAACAUGGACUAAUACCGCAUAUACUCUUGCUACAUAAGUAGAGUAGAGGAAAGUUUUUUCGCUUCACGAUGAGCCUGCGGCCUAUUAGCCUGUUGGUAGGGUAAUGGCCUACCAAAGCUACGAUAGGUAGCCGACCUGAGAGGGUGACCGGCCACAUUGGGACUGAGAUACGGCCCAGACUCCUACGGGAGGCAGCAGCUGAGAAUCUUCCACAAUGGACGAAAGUCUGAUGGAGCGACAUCGCGUGAGGGAUGAAGGCCUUCGGGUUGUAAACCUCGGAAAUUAUCGAAGAAUGAGUGACAGUAGAUAAUGUAAGCYCGGCUAA